This 201-nucleotide RNase P RNA is filed under the name Thermoplasmatota archaeon. RNAcentral describes it as "Candidatus Thermoplasmatota archaeon partial RNase P RNA component". It matches the Rfam family "Archaeal RNase P", at positions 91 to 288 of the family's 288-position model. From Rfam's summary of the family: Ribonuclease P (RNase P) is a ubiquitous endoribonuclease, found in archaea, bacteria and eukarya as well as chloroplasts and mitochondria. Lineage: Archaea; Methanobacteriati; Thermoplasmatota. The record is from RNAcentral.
CCUUGCAGAGACACAGAAACGAUACAGCCUUUGAAUUAUGCGAUGAUUCAUUUGAUGAUGAGGUCUUCAAAGGAUUUGUUGAAACGGUCAAUCUGCCCCUGGAGCAAGUCCAAAUAUUGGGAUCAGUUAUCCAGACUGCUCAUAGGUAGGACGCAUAGUAGAAUACCGUUUAAAACAGAAAGAGGCUUACGGCCUACACCC